AAAUUGAAGAGUUUGAUCAUGGCUCAGAUUGAACGCUGGCGGCAGGCCUAACACAUGCAAGUCGAACGGUAACAGGAAACAGCUUGCUGUUUCGCUGACGAGUGGCGGACGGGUGAGUAAUGUCUGGGAAACUGCCUGAUGGAGGGGGAUAACUACUGGAAACGGUAGCUAAUACCGCAUAACGUCGCAAGACCAAAGAGGGGGACCCUCGGGCCUCUUGCCAUCGGAUGUGCCCAGAUGGGAUUAGCUUGUUGGUGG
Molecule: ribosomal RNA, 258 nt
Filed under: Escherichia coli
Lineage: Bacteria; Pseudomonadati; Pseudomonadota; Gammaproteobacteria; Enterobacterales; Enterobacteriaceae
Description: partial 16S ribosomal RNA
Rfam family: Bacterial small subunit ribosomal RNA
Source: RNAcentral